UACGUAGGGGGCAAGCGUUGUCCGGAAUCAUUGGGCGUAAAGCGCGCGUAGGCGGUUCGAUAAGUCUGCUGUGAAAGUCCAAGGCUCAACCUUGGGAUGCCGGUGGAUACUGUCGAGCUCGAGUCCGGAAGAGGAGUGUGGAAUUCCUGGUGUAGCGGUGAAAUGCGCAGAUAUCAGGAGGAACACCAAUGGCGAAGGCAGCACUCUGGGACGUGACUGACGCUGAGACGCGAAAGCGUGGGGAGCAAACAGG
This 253-nucleotide ribosomal RNA is filed under the name uncultured bacterium. Its description in RNAcentral is "partial 16S ribosomal RNA". It matches the Rfam family "Bacterial small subunit ribosomal RNA", at positions 524 to 776 of the family's 1533-position model. The record is from RNAcentral.